Molecule: long non-coding RNA, 603 nt
Organism: Carya illinoinensis
Lineage: Eukaryota; Viridiplantae; Streptophyta; Magnoliopsida; Fagales; Juglandaceae
Exons: 2
Source: RefSeq, a predicted model, not a curated record
AUCUCCCUCCCAACAAUUCAAGCUAGAAGAAGCUAAGACUAGACUUUUUCCAUAGAAAGUAAGGGGAAAAAAAAUCCAAAUAUGGUUUCAAAAAAUAAUCGUCUCAUGGCCAGAGCAACAUGCCUCCUAAUAUUCUUGUUUUCAGUUAUCAGAAUAGCCCAUGGUGCAGAUUUGAACAUAAAAAACUUUGGAGCAAAGGCUGAUGGCAAGUCAGAUGAUAACAAAUUAAUGGUGGUCUUUGAUUAGGCAAUGAGUAAUGCUUGGAAGGCGGCAUGCGUGUAGACCGAUCGUAGCACUGUUUUGAUACCAAACGGGAAAUACAUGGUUGGUCCAUUAACGUUCCAAGGACCCUGCAAGGCACCAGUCAGUGUUCAGGUUCAAGGAAACGUUCUUGCUCCACCAAGCCUCAACAUUUUCAAGUCCCAAAACGGCUGGAUGGUUUUACAAAACAUUGACAGAUUGAUGGUCUCAGGAACAGGAACUCUCGAUGGCCAAGGAUCACUUGCUUGGUCCCAAAAUAACUGUGCAAAAACUGGGACAUGCAAUUCAAUGCCCAUUGUACGGACCAUCUAAAAUUAAUACAUGGAUCUUUUUUUUUUCUUA